This 301-nucleotide ribosomal RNA is filed under the name uncultured bacterium. RNAcentral's name for it is "partial 16S ribosomal RNA". It matches the Rfam family "Bacterial small subunit ribosomal RNA", at positions 509 to 807 of the family's 1533-position model. The record is from RNAcentral.
CAGUAGCCGCGGUAAUACGAAGUGGGCUAGCGUUGUUCGGAAUUACUGGGCGUAAAGCGCACGUAGGCGGACAUUUAAGUCAGUGGUGAAAUCCCGGGGCUCAACCCCGGAACUGCCUUUGAUACUGGGUGUCUAGAGUAUGGAAGAGGUGAGUGGAAUUCCGAGUGUAGAGGUGAAAUUCGUAGAUAUUCGGAGGAACACCAGUGGCGAAGGCGGCUCACUGGUCCAUUACUGACGCUGAGGUGCGAAAGCGUGGGGAGCAAACAGGAUUAGAUACCCCAGUAGUCCCUGUCUCUUAUAC